Long non-coding RNA from Pongo pygmaeus (Bornean orangutan), 779 nucleotides. RefSeq lists it as uncharacterized. Lineage: Eukaryota; Metazoa; Chordata; Mammalia; Primates; Hominidae. The transcript has 3 exons. The record is from RefSeq and is a predicted model, not a curated record.
CCUUCAGUCUUGAGGAGACUCUGGGGUGACAUCACAGCAUCUGCUCCAGAAGUCUGCUGAACCCAUCCUGGCUAACUGUAAUGCAACUAUUAACCAUAAUACUUUCCUUUAAAAAUCUCACACAAAUGCUGAAAGAGAUGAGAUACUGAGACAGAAAAUGUAAGCUGGGACUGUCCUAAGUGAAUCAGGAAAAAGUUACCCUGUCUAUAAUGAAGUUCAGGGAGAAAGAACAACUUACAUUGAACAGCCUUAAAGAGGCCGGGCUAACAGGGAUUGCUGAUGGGGAAAUAAAGAAAUAAUCAAGGAUGAAUCCUAGAUCUGGGGCUUGAGCAAAUAUGUUCAACUCCUGACACUGGUACCUGUGAAUGUGAUCUUAUCUGGAAAGAGAGACUUUUUGGCCUAUGAGAUACGGGGGCCCCAAAUCCGACGACUGGAGUCAUUGGAAGAAGAGGAGAGGAUGCACAGAGAGACACAUGAAGAGAAGAGCACUGUGUGUAGAUGGAAGCACAAGUUGGAGCGAUGCAGCUACAAGCCAAGGAACACCAAGGAACCAGAAAGAGGCGUUAAGAAUCCUUCCUUAGAGCCUUCAGAGGGUACCUGACCCUGCUGACACCUUGAUUUUGGACUUCUAGCCUCUAGAAUUAUGAGUGAAUACAUUUCUGUUAUUUUAAGCCACAGAAGUGAUCAUUUGUUAUAGCAAUGCUUGGGAACAAAUACAUAUACCAAUAUGGUUUUAUUAGCUAGUAUACUCUAAUUUUAUAGUCAGUAAUAUCAAGGGA